UACAGAGACCUCAAACGUUAUCCGGAUUUAUUGGGCGUAAAGCGCUAAAAGGCGGUCUAGAAAGUUGGGCAUUAAAGCCCAGGGCUCAACCCUGGAUCUAUGCCCAAAACUCCUAGACUAGAGGGUGGGAGAGGCAAGCAGAAUGGCUAGUGUAGCAGUAAAAUGCGUUAAUAUUAGCCAGAAUACCAAUGGCGAAGGCAGCUUGCUGGAACACACCUGACGCUAAAUAGCGAAAGCGUGGGGAGCGAAUGGG
Molecule: ribosomal RNA, 253 nt
Filed under: uncultured bacterium
Lineage: Bacteria
Description: partial 16S ribosomal RNA
Rfam family: Bacterial small subunit ribosomal RNA
Source: RNAcentral